GAUGAACGCUGGCGGCGUGCCUAAUACAUGCAAGUCGAGCGAACAGACGAGUAGCUUUCUUCUCUGAUGUUAACGGCGGAAGGGUGAGUAACCCCUGGAUAACCUACCUCCCUGCCUGGGGUAAAUUCCGGGAACCGGAGCUAAUUCCGGAUGAUUUUUUGUCCCUCAUGUUUCAAACGUGAAAGACGGUCUUGCUUUCACUUAUAGAUUGCUCCGCGCUGCAUUAGCUAGUUGUUAAGGUAAGGGCUUACCAAGGCCACGAUGGAUAGCCGACCUGAGAGGGUGAGCAGACACACUGGAACUGAGACACGGUCCAGACACCUACGGGGGGCAGCAGUAGGGAAUCUUCCGCAAUGGGGGAAAGACUGACGGAGCAACGCGGCGGGAGGGAUGAAGGUCUUAGGAUCUUAAAACUCUGUUAUUAGGGAAGAACAUAUGUGUAAGUAACUGUGCACAUCUUGACGGUACCUAAACAGAAAGCCACGGCUAACUACGUG
Molecule: ribosomal RNA, 497 nt
Filed under: uncultured bacterium
Lineage: Bacteria
Description: partial 16S ribosomal RNA
Rfam family: Bacterial small subunit ribosomal RNA
Source: RNAcentral